UUAUAUGCCUUAACGUUGACAAGUGUAUUCAUUGGUAUAUUGAAGUUUGACCUAUUGCCAUUCCACGGCCGCACUUAUCCGGCCAGAUGUCCUUAUCCUUUGGCAGGUGUCCUCUAGUGCUUGCUACGUCCGACUGUGCAGACCUCCUCGCAAUCUUCUCGUGCGUGUGUCGUACGAAAUUUCAUUGAAUCAAAAGCCGAUUAGCGGCUCGUACUACUUCCGGCUCUUAACGCGAAUGAGGGUGUUUUGCACGAGCCAUGAGGUUUUGAGAUCUAUCUUGUUGUCGCGGUAGUACUUGUGGUGAUCCCGUCUAUUCCCUUCACUUUUUAGCGUCUAACACCUUUCUCCAGCGGUAGAUUUACAGGGUCAUUGCCGACGGGGUAGAAGGAGACCUACUUUUACUGCCUUCUUUCGUCACCAGCACACUUAGCACACGCGCACGAACGCACGUACCCUAUUCCAAAUGUCCCUAUCCGGAAAAUACUGUGCUAUCAGACGGUGAACAGUUUAUAACCCACACGAUUCUGAUGAGUCCAAAAAAUGUUUCAAUUGCCCGUGAAAGUGCGGGUCGCCAUUACGUUGCGCCAAAGCGGUAAAGGAUACUUUAGCAAAGUAUCCUUUACCGCUAAGAACCCAUCUGCUUUCGAAGCUACUUGCAGUCCAUAGAUUACUCUGGUCCACCGCUGGCUUGCCAGUAGAUGCAUCGGCAUUUUUGUAGAGAUUUGAGGUGACCACGCCCGUACACUGCUCCUAUUAUGCAGCACCAGCACAGUUUCGCACUGCUUACACAAGAAAUUUACGUAAACUCUGAUUUCAGAGUAUGAAGUAACCCUCGCUGUCGUGAGUUAGUUACGAAAAUGUAUUGAAAAGCUAAGUAACUUGGAAAAAAUGACGCCAUCGCUUGGCCUUGUUUUGCCGGGCGACAGCAGUAUGAUACUUUACGUUGUGAAUAGGUUCUGGAUGCCCUACUCAUCAUUCGACCCGUGCAAUUUCCUGGGACUAUUUGCUUUAUGUUAGGAAAUGGGUGAAUCGAUUAAUAUUACUAUUCGUUAUGUCCUUAUUUCGUCUAGUGGCGAUGGUAACGUAGUUGUUCGGUUAACAUAAACUACGCAGGCCAAGCUGCAACAAAUUAUUGCUAAUGCUGUCAAUGUGAUUUGUUUUGGGUAAACAACGACCUGAAUGUAGGCACAAAUGGAUAAUCUUUGAUCUACAAUAACGAUGUAUGCAAUAUAGGCUGUAGUCAGUGCUUUACGGAAGCGUUUACCUCGUCUCUUCAUGUCAUGGCAGGGCUUCGAUUGGAGCUCAGCGGUUCUUUUCGUUAAGUGUAUUUAGCCACGGUCCAUUAUUCCUCAUUUGGUCAUCGCAGCGCUUCUUAACCGGAUAAACAUUAGGCCGAAGUUUUUGUUAGCCCGGUAAUCAGCAGCUCACCAUGGUGUACCUAAACGACCGUUGGAAACUACAUGCUAUGAGAUUUUAAUAGCGUGAUGGAGAAAGUUGUGCGUUACGGUUACGGACACAAAUUAUUGUUAAAUCUAUAGUGUACUUCAGGUCAAACUGCGCACAGAAAUAUACAAUUCAAAAGCAGAACAGUCGUGAAUCUAUACGGCUGUCGCUUCCAUCUGAGGCUAGAAGUGAGAGAAAGAAAGUCUGAAUGACUUUCUUUCCGAAGCGCUCUGUACUGCGACCAUGCAAGAGUCAAGCAUUCGACUGCUGUUCUAUCGCCUCCUUACCAAACGAAUGGGUUUCGUCGUUACCUACAAAUACAGACGAUCCAAUUAUAAUAGACACUACCUUCCGUGAUUGUUAGCGGCUAUUUUGCAACAAAAUUUGCAUACUCGAAUAUUGCCAAGGUUUCACUGCGAUCUUCACGUUAGUUCUCUUACGGCAUCCCGUAUGCAUCCACUGUCUCCGUGAGGGGCUUCCGCUGUCUGUAUCCUGACGGGCGACGUUACCUUCGGCCACCUCGACGUCCUUCUAAUCUACGGAGCAUUGUUCAAUGUACUGUUCUCUCCCUGACCUUUUUUCUAUUUUGAUAUUUCAAAAAGCAAAAGUGCUCGUUAUCGAAUAGGUGCCCAGGUUAAAGAGGACUCGAAAUUCCGUCUAUUGUUUGGAACCCGCCGCCGCCGCCGCCACUACUAGCGCCGUUGAGUAUUUGGUUAAAAGCAAUGCUUUUUCGCAGGAUUUAUCCACGGAAUCUUACUGCACAUCUAUUCUAAGUAAAUGGUUUUGACACACAUGCUGUUUCACUCGGACUAGGUAUACGAGGGUUAGCCAUGUAAAGGAUGGCACGGUCUAAGUAGCUGCUGUCAUUAUUUUAAUACAGUGCCUUAAGAAUUGUAACGGACAUUCAAUGCUCUUAAUGCUGCUUCAGAUAUCAAUAUUGAUUCAAAUGAUGAUCAGAUACAAAUGGUGCUCGGAUAAUAACCGGGACAUGUUUAUAGAUAAAAAUAAAACACUAUUAAUCAUGCAACUUCUACUACUGUUAAAUUGCCAAACGAAUCUAGUUUAAGAAACUCUGAUUGACUACAGUAAAAAUUAAGUGUGUAUAAGGUUGAUUUAUUUUUUUUGUGAGCCUAUUGCUUGAUUGUCCUGAUCAUGUCAAUCUAUCAAUAGACUAUUAGAUCUUACGUUUAGUCACGUCUAGUCUCGUGUUGCAAGGAUACAUCGAGAAUCUUCUCUAUGAAUCUUUUGGCUUCUUCUCAGAUCUGACGAUUAGAACGUGCGUCAAUGCGAUGACCUUUAGCUAGUGCAAAUAGGUGAUAUAUGUCACUAUUGUAUUUAUAGCGUCAACCGCGCGUCAUCGUCAAUUUGUUUGAGGCACUUUCAGUGGUCUCAUUGGGACUAACAAGAACUAGAAAUCCUUACACUACGAUGCUGCCUCGACGAUACAGUUUACGAACGCAAACAUCCGCCCACAAAACGAACUUGCCCGAUGCACAGAAAAGCAAGUGUGCAGGAAACACCGAGUAAAGGCAUAACACAUAUGGUCUAAGUUUUUCUUGCCAAGUACAGGAUAUCAACAGGCAACCUUGUGGACCAGUCAGGAUUGCAUUAAGCGUUAUAUUUAUUAUUACUUUCGCUGCUCUGUGCAGUCAGCGCACCUCGUCGUUUCGUAACCUUUUCUUUGACCAACUUUUUCACGGCUCCGGAUAGUUAAGAAGGAACUCUUCCUCGUUGA
This is a long non-coding RNA of Varroa destructor (honeybee mite), 3178 nucleotides long. The record is from RefSeq and is a predicted model, not a curated record. Lineage: Eukaryota; Metazoa; Arthropoda; Arachnida; Mesostigmata; Varroidae.